RNAcentral lists this ribosomal RNA (253 nucleotides) under uncultured microorganism. RNAcentral describes it as "partial 16S ribosomal RNA". It matches the Rfam family "Bacterial small subunit ribosomal RNA", at positions 524 to 776 of the family's 1533-position model. The record is from RNAcentral.
UACGGAGGGUGCGAGCGUUAAUCGGAAUUACUGGGCAUAAAGCGUGCGCAGGCGGUUUGUUAAGCGAGAUGUGAAAGCCCCGGGCUCAACCUGGGAACCGCAUUUCGAACUGGCAAACUAGAGUCUUGUAGAGGGGGGUAGAAUUCCAGGUGUAGCGGUGAAAUGCGUAGAGAUCUGGAGGAAUACCGGUGGCGAAGGCGGCCCCCUGGACAAAGACUGACGCUCAGGCACGAAAGCGUGGGGAGCAAACAGG